GUGGCUAAGUGGGUUAAGCAUCUGAUUUCAGCUCAGGUCAUGAUCUCAGGGUCCUGGGAUCAAGUCCCAGC
This 71-nucleotide transfer RNA is filed under the name Canis lupus familiaris (dog). It matches the Rfam family "tRNA", at positions 7 to 64 of the family's 71-position model. Rfam says of the family: Transfer RNA (tRNA) molecules are approximately 80 nucleotides in length. Lineage: Eukaryota; Metazoa; Chordata; Mammalia; Carnivora; Canidae. RNAcentral also lists the same sequence under 1 other name. The record is from Rfam by way of RNAcentral.